RNAcentral lists this ribosomal RNA (253 nucleotides) under uncultured bacterium. Its description in RNAcentral is "partial 16S ribosomal RNA". It matches the Rfam family "Bacterial small subunit ribosomal RNA", at positions 524 to 776 of the family's 1533-position model. The record is from RNAcentral.
UACGUAGGGUCCGAGCGUUGUCCGGAAUUAUUGGGCGUAAAGAGCUCGUAGGCGGCUUGUCGCGUCGGAUGUGAAAGCCCGGGGCUUAACUCCGGGUCUGCAUCCGAUACGGGCAGACUAGAGGUAUGCAGGGGAGAACGGAAUUCCUGGUGUAGCGGUGGAAUGCGCAGAUAUCAGGAGGAACACCGGUGGCGAAGGCGGUUCUCUGGGCAUUACCUGACGCUGAGGAGCGAAAGUGUGGGGAGCGAACAGG